Molecule: long non-coding RNA, 1049 nt
Organism: Oncorhynchus tshawytscha (Chinook salmon)
Lineage: Eukaryota; Metazoa; Chordata; Actinopteri; Salmoniformes; Salmonidae
Source: Ensembl
CUCUCUCUCUCACACACACACACACACACACACACACACACACACACACAGACACACAGACACACAGACACACAGACAUAGACACACAGACACAGACAAAGAGGCGCACACUCUCACACACGCUCUCUCUCUCGCUCUCUCUCUCACACACACAUACACACACACACACACACGCACACACACAGUAGAGUGAGAGAAAACAAGAGGUCAGAUGUAGAGGUCAGAUGUAGGGUUCAGAUGUAGAGGUUAGAUGUAGAGGUUAGAUGUAGGGGUUAGAUGUAGGGGUUAGAUGUAGGGGUCAGAUGUAGGGGUUAGAUGUAGGGGUUAGAUGUAGGGGUCAGAUGUAGGGGUUAGAUGUAGGGGUCAGAUGUAGGGGUCAGAUGUAGGGGUUAGAUGUAGGGGUUAGAUGUAGGGGUCAGAUGUAGGGGUUAGAUGUAGGGGUUAGAUGUAGAGGUUAGAUGUACGGGUCAGAUGUAGGGGUUAGAUGUAGGGGUCAGAUGUAGGGGUCAGAUGUAGGGGUUAGAUGUAGGGGUUAGAUGUAGAGGUUAGAUGUAGGGGUCAGAUGUAGGGGUUAGAUGUAGGGGUUAGAUGUAGGGGUCAGAUGUAGUGGUCAGAUGUAGGGGUCAGAUGUAGGGGUCAGAUGUAGGGGUUAGAUGUAGGGGUCAGAAGUAGGGGAUAGAUGUAGGGGUCAGAUGUAGGGGUCAGAUGUAGGGGUCAGAUAUAGGGGAUAGAUGUAGGGGUCAGAUGUAGGGGUCAGAUGUAGAGGUCAGAUAUAGGGGAUAGAUGUAGGGGUCAGAUGUAGGGGUUAGAUGUAGGGGUUAGAUGUAGGGUCAGAUGUAGGGGUCAGAUUUUGGGUCAGAUGUAGGGGUCAGAUGUAGUGGUCAGAUGUAGGGGUCAGAUGUAGGGGUCAGAUGUAGGGGUCAGAUGUAGGGGAUAGAUGUAGGGGUCAGAUGUAGGGGUUAGAUGUAGGGGUUAGAUGUAGGGGUCAGAUGUAGGGGUUAGAUGUAGGGGUCAGAUUUGGGGUCAGAUGUAGGGGUCAGAUGUAGGGG